AGAGUUUGAUCAUGGCUCAGGAUGAACGCUGGCGGCGUGCUUAACACAUGCAAGUCGAACGAGAAAUGAUAUUACGAUCUCUUCGGAGUGACGGUUUUAUUUCGAGUGGCGGACGGGUGAGUAACGCGUGAGCAACCUGCCCUAUACCGGGGGAUAACACUUGGAAACAGGUGCUAAUACCGCAUAACAGUUUAUGCCGCAUGGCAUAAGAGUGAAAGGCGCUUUCGGGUGUCGCUGAUGGAUGGACCCGCGGUGCAUUAGCUGGUUGGUGAGGUAACGGCUCACCAAGGCCACGAUGCAUAGCCGACCUGAGAGGGUGAUCGGCCACACUGGGACUGAGACACGGCCCAGACUCCUACGGGAGGCAGCAGUAGGGAAUCUUCGGCAAUGGACGAAAGUCUGACCGAGCAACGCCGCGUGAGUGAAGAAGGUUUUCGGAUCGUAAAACUCUGUUGUUAGAGAAGAACAAGGACGUUAGUAACUGAACGUCCCCUGACGGUAUCUAACCAGAAAGCCACGGCUAACUACGUGCCAGCAGCCGCGGU
RNAcentral lists this ribosomal RNA (545 nucleotides) under Enterococcus sp. oral clone 5RH-27. RNAcentral's name for it is "bacterial SSU rRNA". It matches the Rfam family "Bacterial small subunit ribosomal RNA", at positions 8 to 521 of the family's 1533-position model. Lineage: Bacteria; Bacillati; Bacillota; Bacilli; Lactobacillales; Enterococcaceae. The record is from RNAcentral.